AACGUUCAGCGUACUUUUCAACGCGUUCCGAAAAGGUAGCACUGAAAAGAACAAUCUGAGUGUUUCUAGGAAGAAGGUGCUUGAUACGCAUAGAUUGAUCUCCUAAUCCUUGCUGAUCUAACAUGUUGUCUGCCUCAUCUAACACGAAUACUUUAAUAUCGCGAGCGUCAAGCUGUCUUCUCUUCAUCAAAUCCAUCACAGUGCCAGGCGUUCCGAUUACAAUUUGAGCAUCGAUUUUUGCACCUUUAGGGACGGAGUCUUUAAUACCAAAAGCUGUUUUUACUUCAGUAUAUUUGCCCAUCUCCGUCACGACAUCCAUAAUCUGACGGGCCAAUUCACGAGAAGGAGCGAGGCAGAUAGCUUGAGGUUUGGGAACAGAAGCAUCAACACGAGAAAGCAUCGUUAAUGCAAAUGCAGCGGUUUUACCAGUUCCGGAUUGUGAUUGUCCGAUCAUAUUGCGAGGAGGAUUUGAGAGUAAAAGUGGAAGCGCCUUCUCUUGAAUUUUUGAGGGUUUUUGGAAUUUCAUUGAAUAAAUUCCCUUUAAUAAUUCGGGCUUGAGCUCCAACUCUUCAAAACUUUUAACAGAAAAAAGAGGUGAGUUUGGAUCAGCCUGUAGAUCUGCUAAUUUUACACGAACCUCGUUUUUAUUUGGUAUUAAAUUAGAUUCAUCAUUUUCAGAUUGCUUCGUAUUGGCGUCCUCUGCAAUCGUGUUGGUCGCUUUGUCUUGCUCAGAUUUUGCAUCAACAUUCUCAGUGAUUUUUGGACCUAAUCUGUCACUUAAAUUUGUUGCUUUUUGAUCUUCAUUUUUAUUUUCUGAAGUAUUUAACUGAUUGACUUUAUCACUAAUUCUUUGAACCUCUUCAUCAGAGUCCAAACUAGCCCAGUCAGUUUUGCUUUCCUGUCCCAGUGUAGUUGACAUUUUGGAUGUUUUUUAGUAAAAAAAAUAAAAAAAAUCAAAUUUAUAGUUCAGAUAUCCAAACUCAGCAAGGAUGACUUAGCAAACUGGAUGA
This is a non-coding RNA of Schizosaccharomyces pombe (fission yeast), 1010 nucleotides long. The record is from the annotation of a GenBank genome assembly. Lineage: Eukaryota; Fungi; Ascomycota; Schizosaccharomycetes; Schizosaccharomycetales; Schizosaccharomycetaceae.